UACGUAGGGUGCGAGCGUUAAUCGGAAUUACUGGGCGUAAAGCGUGCGCAGGCGGUUCGCCAAGUCAGGUGUGAAAUCCCCGGGCUUAACCUGGGAAUUGCGCUUGAAACUAGCGGGCUUGAGUGCGGCAGAGGGGGGUGGAAUUCCACGUGUAGCAGUGAAAUGCGUAGAGAUGUGGAGGAACACCGAUGGCGAAGGCAGCCCCCUGGGUCGACACUGACGCUCAUGCACGAAAGCGUGGGGAG
This 245-nucleotide ribosomal RNA is filed under the name uncultured bacterium. Its description in RNAcentral is "partial 16S ribosomal RNA". It matches the Rfam family "Bacterial small subunit ribosomal RNA", at positions 524 to 768 of the family's 1533-position model. The record is from RNAcentral.